This is a long non-coding RNA of Oncorhynchus masou masou (cherry salmon), 733 nucleotides long. RefSeq lists it as uncharacterized. NCBI's taxonomy places the organism in Eukaryota, Metazoa, Chordata, Actinopteri, Salmoniformes, Salmonidae. The record is from RefSeq and is a predicted model, not a curated record. The transcript is spliced from 4 exons.
UUUGUGCCGUUGCAUAUGGGAAGUCCUUCAAAGUCACCCGUUGUGCCGCAGGCAGCAUUCUAAUGAGGUCAUCAAUAACAUGCAACAGCUGCUCAAAAAGAGACUCAUCUAUUGCAGCUACGGUCUUCUCUAACUGAAAAAUAUCUACAAAAUAAUUGGAUAAAUCAUGGCACCUGUAACCUACGAGGCUUUCUUUGUUUGCCUCUGUUGCUGCCCCUGGAGAAACAGGAAGACUGACAACAAGAGCGAAGUUUUGGAGUAUCACCCGGGAUGAACGGGGCUGUCUUGGGCAGUUCAAACAAAGGAUCCAGGUCCGGGAAGUCAAAUUUCUGGGAGUGAGAAACUGGUCGGAAUUGAAGGAAUGAUGGAUGUUGCUAGAUACAGGGAAAUUCUUGAGGAAAACCUGCUUCAGUCUUCCAGAGAUUUGAGACCGGCGGAGGUUCACCUUCCAGAAGGACAAUGACCCUAAGCAUACUGCGUAAGCAACACUCAAGUGGUUUCAGGGGAAACAUUUACAUGUCCUGGAAUGGCCUAUUCAAAGCCCAGUUCUCAAUCGAAUUGAGAAUCUGUGGUAUGACUUAAAGAUUGCUGUACAGGAGCAGAACCCAUCCAACUUGAAGGAGCUGGAGCAGUUUUGUCUUGAAGAAUGGGCAAAAAUUCCAGUGGCUAGAUGUGCCAAGCUUAUAGAGACAUAGCACAAGAGACUUUCAGCUGUAAUUGCUGCAAAAGGUGA